This 348-nucleotide long non-coding RNA is filed under the name Anser cygnoides (Swan goose). RNAcentral's name for it is "lncRNA (ENSACDG00005005706.1)". The record is from RNAcentral. Lineage: Eukaryota; Metazoa; Chordata; Aves; Anseriformes; Anatidae.
AUGUGUCUUUGGCCACGUUUUCAGCCUGGCCAUGUAUCUGACCACAUGGUCUUAGACUGGUCAGAGAAACCUGCCAGCAGGUUUCAAAGGAAGAAAAUACAUUUCUUUUCUGUCUUGAGGCAUGAACAGGGAGCUCCUGAGAGAGACCUGUGGAGCCAGACUGUAGUAGCCAUAAGACCAAGUAACACAAGUGCUGAGCAACAUGGAGAUUGGAGGCGAUUCUCAGAAAGUAUCAGUGGGGAAAGCACUCUGGACAUCACAGGGGCUUUGGGGAAAAAUCCACACUUUGGAAGGAGCACAGAUAUCACUGAACCAAGCUGCUAUGGAUUUUCAGUUCACGCACAUUAA